GAUGAACGCUGGCGGCGUGCCUAAUACAUGCAAGUCGAGCGAUCGGACGAGAUGCUUGUUUCUCUGAUGUUAGCGGCGGACGGGUGAGUAACGCGUGGAUAAUCUACCUAUAAGACGGGGACAACUUCGGGAAACCGGUGCUAAUACCGGAUAAUAUCUUUAACCGCAUGGUUCAAGAGUGAAAGACGGUCUUGCUGUCACCUAUAGAUGUAUCCCGUUGGCAUAAGUUGGUUGUGAAGGUAACGGCCUACAAAGCGAACGAACAAUAGCCGACUUGAGAGGGUGAUCGCCCACACUGGAACUGAGCCACGCUCCAGACUCCUACGGGAGGAACAGUUAGGGAACCUUCGGCAAUGGGCGAAGGCCUGACGGAGCAACGCCGCGUGAGUGAUGAGGGUCUUCGGACCGUAAAACUCUGUUGUUAGGAAAGAACAUAGUGGGAAGUAAAUGCGCACAACUUGACGGUACCUAAUCAGAAAGCCACGGCUAACUACGUG
This 497-nucleotide ribosomal RNA is filed under the name uncultured bacterium. RNAcentral describes it as "partial 16S ribosomal RNA". It matches the Rfam family "Bacterial small subunit ribosomal RNA", at positions 28 to 507 of the family's 1533-position model. The record is from RNAcentral.